This 328-nucleotide ribosomal RNA is filed under the name Eimeria wyomingensis. RNAcentral describes it as "SSU rRNA". It matches the Rfam family "Eukaryotic small subunit ribosomal RNA", at positions 1498 to 1831 of the family's 1831-position model. Lineage: Eukaryota; Apicomplexa; Conoidasida; Eucoccidiorida; Eimeriidae. The record is from RNAcentral.
CUACACUGAUGCAUGCAACGAGUUCUUGACCUUGGCCGGAAGGUCUAGGUAAUCUUUUGAGUGUGCAUCGUGAUGGGGAUAGAUUAUUGCAAUUAUUAAUCUUCAACGAGGAAUGCCUAGUAGGCGUAAGUCAGCAGCUUGCGCCGAUUACGUCCCUGCCCUUUGUACACACCGCCCGUCGCUGCAACCGAUCGGAGGGUCCUGUGAACUCAAUGGACUGAUCAACUCCUUUUUGGGUGUUGGUCGGGAAGUUGCGUAAAUAGAGCCCUCUAAAGGAUGCAAAAGUCGUAACACGGUUUCCGUAGGUGAACCUGCGGAAGGAUCAUUC